GGUGCUAAGGUAGCGAAAUUCCGUGUCGGGGAAGUUCCGACCUGCACGAAUGGCGUAACGAUCUCCCCGCUGUCUCCAGCAUCGGCUCAGUGAAAUUGAAUUCCCCGUGAAGAUGCGGGGUUCCUGCGGUCAGACGGAAAGACCCCGUGCACCUUUACUGUAGCUUUGCGCUGGCCUUCGUGUCGGCAUGUGUAGGAUAGGUGGUAGGCUUUGAAGCCGGGGCGUCAGCCCUGGU
RNAcentral lists this ribosomal RNA (235 nucleotides) under Staphylococcus pseudintermedius. RNAcentral describes it as "partial 23S ribosomal RNA". It matches the Rfam family "Bacterial large subunit ribosomal RNA", at positions 1947 to 2181 of the family's 2925-position model. Lineage: Bacteria; Bacillati; Bacillota; Bacilli; Caryophanales; Staphylococcaceae. The record is from RNAcentral.